AUGCUCAUUUUGGCAGCACAUAUACUAAAACUGGAACGAUACAGAGAAGAUUAGCAUGACCCCGCACAAGGAUGACAUGCAAAUUUGUGAAGCAUUCCAUAUAAAG
RNAcentral lists this small nuclear RNA (106 nucleotides) under Zalophus californianus (California sea lion). RNAcentral also lists the same sequence under 1 other name. The record is from RNAcentral. Lineage: Eukaryota; Metazoa; Chordata; Mammalia; Carnivora; Otariidae.